ACUAGAGGGAGGAAGUGAGAUGUGAGGGGAAGGCUUUGGGUUGGGGUAUGGAGCACUUCGGGGCCGACCAGUACUGGGAGCGCUCUGGACCCGGAAUGCCUAAGCUCCCGCUACGGGUGUGUCUCAGGCUCUCAGUCUCGGAGCCUCGCACUUGGCGAGUCCGGAUUUCUCUUUCCUCCCUGAUCCUCUUUUCCCUCCCUCUCGGCUCCGCCCCCUUCCUCUCUUUUCCUCUCAGCUCCUCCUCCUGCUUCACUGCUCCUCCUUUUACCUUAUUCUCUAUGCACGUGCCCCGCCGUCUCGGCUUCGCCUUGUCCCCUCCCUCUCGGCUCCGCCCCGUCCUCCGUUUCUCCCUCCCAAUUGGCUACUCCUCUUAGCUCCUCCUUCGUCAUAGGUCCUCCUAUUCUCCCUCCCUCUCGGCUCCUUCCUCUCGCGCUUGGUAUCCGCUGCCUCUUUACCCCUUCCCCUCCUUAUUGUCCCCCUCAUGCCUUUCUAGGCUCACGCACUCUCUAAAUGUUUCUUAGAUACGUCCGCACUACAUUUCCAUCACCCCUCACUCCUGUGGUCUCACACUUUGACCUCCUUAAUUCUUGUUAAUUCACUUUGGUUUCCCCUGCGCAGUCUCUGCAAACAGCAAGUUAAUUUGUACCUCUCAGACUUGCGAGAAUAAAAUGAGACAACGUAUGACAAGCACUGACAAAAACACUUGGCACAUGUCAUCUGUAGCACUAUUUGUAAAUAGUCUGGACUCAGUGGAACCUGCUGUCUUAUGAAUAUAAUAUUUUUAACAAGACAGAAACAUGUUCAAAAGUUUGUGUAAAAUUUUAUGAUAUAGCAAGUGAAGAUCGAAAGAAAAGGCUGGAUUUUUUGAAGAAAGGAACACAGCUGAAUUAUCAACGUCACUGGGUUAACAGGAGCAUCUUCAAAGGCUGCCUUGGGAAUUAAGACAGCUCACCCCUCCAUGCCCAGCACAGUGGCUGCUGCUCUCAAUGAACACACAAUUCCUCUGUCAGAUAUUUUCUUUUCAGAUUCCAGUUUGAAUUCAACAGAAGUAAUACUUUCUACCUCUUCGACCACACUGAUAUUACCGUUACAUAUCCUGGGGAAAGUGAAACAAAUUGGGCUAUUGCAAGUUUGGUUACUGCUUGACUUGAUCUCAAAAGGUCCGUAUUAUAAAGGAUGUUCGAAUUGUUGAUGUCUGAGUGUUGGGAAAACCGCUCACAGGGACGAUGUAGCACCCGACAGAUUCCUUGCUAAUUGCCAGUGGGAAAAUAGAAAAACAAGAAAACAAACAUAUCAAGUGGGAUUCUAGAUGGGAUUACAUUUUGGAGUCUAUGCCUCAUCCCCACAUCCAGUGGCUUAGUUCUGGCCUGUCUUGGUUUCCCUUCCCCUGCCAAUCGAAGUCUUUAAUGACCUGUGCUGUUUUGUCAUGGGUCCUUCUGGGAACCUCUGCUGGAUACGUGUCUGCUAAAAUGUAUAAGAGCAAGCAUUACAACUCUUUAUUUUGCUGGUUAGGUAUCCAGUUCGCACAAACCAGAUUCCACGUCAGAUUCCUCAACAGAUUUUCUCUAGAAAAUGACUUUUGGCAUCAUAAUCAGUGGCAUUUUCCCUUUUGGCUGUAUUUUUAUUCAACUCUUUUUCCUUCUGAACAGUGUUUGGAACAGUCGGAUUUUUUUCCUGCUUCUGUUUUAUUAUCAAAAUCUACAGUGUGGUGAAAGUGGAUUAAAGAAUGUCCCCAGAGGCUUCCAGGCACAUCACCCUUGCUUUUGAAUAUACAUCUGUAUCUAUAUGAACAUCUAUAAAGAUACAUAUGUAUGCUUCCAAUUGCCUGUUUUUAAUAUAUAUCAAUUGGAAAA
This is a non-coding RNA of Sus scrofa (pig), 1853 nucleotides long. The record is from RefSeq and is a predicted model, not a curated record. NCBI's taxonomy places the organism in Eukaryota, Metazoa, Chordata, Mammalia, Artiodactyla, Suidae.